UUUACCCUUACAGAAUAAUUUUUAACUUUCCUUGUGCUUGUAAUUUUCCCUAGAAAGAAGAAGUAUGGAGGAAAAUGAAAAGCUCCCACGGAAGAAAGCAAAACACAAGCUCUCACAUGAUGGAAUUAUUACGAUGAAGGCCGAGCAAGUACUAUCAAAGAAUGAUGCCACCGAUGAAUCCCGAUAUGGUGUCGAUAGUUUCAUAGACGACUCUUUUUCAUCUUAAUUGGGUGCUAUCCUACCUGAGCUUUAUUUUUUUUCUUUUGUUUUUUUAAUUUAUUUAUUUUUAUAAGUUUGAUCUUCUUGACCUUGUAAGACCUUUUCUUGACCUUGUAAGACCCAGUCCAGCAUUUAUAACUCUUCUUCUCCUUCCUUGUCUAUCCCUCCUGAGCUAUUUCAAACUUGUUUCCUGCCGUUGACAUCUAGUAAGUCACAUUCGGUGCCAGAUAAAUUCGAAGUAUAAGCGAAUCAUUUUACAUUUGUAUUGUUAUAGUGUUAAAAGGUCAAAUGUUGUAAUGAAGGGUGUAGAAAAUAUGCUUUAGCAGGCACCAGUUUCGUUGUUUUAUAUGUUGUUGGUCCAAAGACUAAGAUGUGAGAGAUAAUAAAAUUCAAAAUAUUCCCUCAGAUAUUUUGU
Molecule: long non-coding RNA, 634 nt
Organism: Hibiscus syriacus
Lineage: Eukaryota; Viridiplantae; Streptophyta; Magnoliopsida; Malvales; Malvaceae
Exons: 4
Source: RefSeq, a predicted model, not a curated record